Sceloporus undulatus (fence lizard) is the source of this 1340-nucleotide RNA transcript. It is a transcript of the gene named COPI coat complex subunit zeta 2, with no coding region annotated. The transcript is spliced from 10 exons. Lineage: Eukaryota; Metazoa; Chordata; Lepidosauria; Squamata; Phrynosomatidae. The record is from RefSeq and is a predicted model, not a curated record.
CAAGGCCCAGUCUGGGCGGAGCAGCCCCACAAGGCCAGCAGCAGAGCCCACCUCUUGCCUUGGAAGGAGCCGGGAUGCAUAAGGCAGAGGCCCGGCCACGUCAGCAGCACGACCCCCUCGGCCUCCCUGCCAAGGAAAGCGGAGGAAGGGAAGGGCCAGCCAUGGAAAGCCCCCCGGGGCAGAAGCUGGAACCAUCCCUUUACACGGUCAAGGCAAUUUUUAUCUUGGACAGCCUUGGGCAGCGACUUUUGGCUAAGUAUUAUGAUGACACGUUUCCAUCCACGAAAGAACAGAAGAGAUUUGAGAGAAACGUCUUCAAGAAAACCCACAAGACUGAUAGUGAGAUUGCUUUCUUGGAAGGCCUGACCAUUGUCUAUAAAAACAGCAUUGAUCUUUUCUUUUAUGUGGUAGGGAGUCCACAUGAAAAUGAGCUGAUGCUAACAUCAGUUCUCAGCUGUCUUUUUGAAUCUCUGAGUCACAUGCUGCGAAAGAAUGUGGAGAAGCGAGCACUGCUGGAGAAUAUGGACGGGGUAUUUCUUGUGGUGGAUGAGAUCGUUGAUGGCGGUGUGAUUUUAGAAAGUGAUCCCCAGCAAGUCAUCCAGAAAUUAAAUUUCAGAACAGUCCCAGAGCCUGCACCUUAUGGCUUUGUCCUCCUUGACUACAUCGUGGGUAAUGCAGAGCACAGUGAAAUUUUACCUGAGAGGCUCUACAAAUAACUAAUGGUUCUCACAAACAGGAAGCAGGAGUGGAUGAUGGCUCUUUAUCAGAGCACAGCGUCACUCAGGUCCUUCAGUCUGCCAAAGAGCAAAUUAAGUGGUCCUUAUUAAAAUAAAAUACCCCCAAACAAAAUACACAGCACUGGCAAAUUUUGAAUUACACUUUCUAACCUUGUUCUAGUUUAGCCUUUCCUGAUAGCCUCAAAGGAUGAGAGUUUUUCAAUGAAUCCAGAAGCUGACUAUUAUGAUAUGAGAAGACACCAAGCUGCUGAAGCUCAUCUGAAUAACUUUUCCAAAGUGGAUGGCAAAAUCUGUUGUUGCUUACUACAGAUGGUGGCUAACCAUGGCUAUCUUUAAUCAUUCACAAGAUGAGUUUCUAGACAGACGUGCCCUCCCACUGCCAAUCAAAAGGCACCGUGGCAGCUAUUUCAUCUUCCCUUUUUUAACAGAGUUUUGUUUUCUGGUAAGAAGGAAGACAGAAGGAGUGAUGCGGAAACACAAGACAGUUAAACUCCAUGUCUGCAGCUACCCAAAUUCUUUACAAUGAUAUUCUCAAAUGUAUCAGUGGCACCCCUUCUCCAGCUUCCCAAAUAUGGCUGAAAAUAAAAUAUGUAUUUGGACAAA